Molecule: ribosomal RNA, 993 nt
Filed under: human metagenome
Description: bacterial LSU rRNA
Rfam family: Bacterial large subunit ribosomal RNA
Source: RNAcentral
ACAGCACUCUGCAAACACGAAAGUGGACGUAUAGGGUGUGACGCCUGCCCGGUGCUGGAAGGUUAAUUGAAGAUGUGAGAGCAUCGGAUCGAAGCCCCAGUAAACGGCGGCCGUAACUAUAACGGUCCUAAGGUAGCGAAAUUCCUUGUCGGGUAAGUUCCGACCCGCACGAAUGGCGUAACGAUGGCCACACUGUCUCCUCCCGAGACUCAGCGAAGUUGAAAUGGUUGUGAAGAUGCAAUCUCCCCGCUGCUAGACGGAAAGACCCCGUGAACCUUUACUGUAGCUUUGCAUUGGACUUUGAAGUCACUUGUGUAGGAUAGGUGGGAGGCUUAGAAGCAGAGACGCCAGUCUCUGUGGAGCCGUCCUUGAAAUACCACCCUGGUGUCUUUGAGGUUCUAACCCAGACCCGUAAUCCGGGUCGGGGACCGUGCAUGGUAGGCAGUUUGACUGGGGCGGUCUCCUCCCAAAGAGUAACGGAGGAGUUCGAAGGUUACCUAGGUCCGGUCGGAAAUCGGACUGAUAGUGCAAUGGCAAAAGGUAGCUUAACUGCGAGACCGACAAGUCGAGCAGGUGCGAAAGCAGGACAUAGUGAUCCGGUGGUUCUGUAUGGAAGGGCCAUCGCUCAACGGAUAAAAGGUACUCCGGGGAUAACAGGCUGAUUCCGCCCAAGAGUUCAUAUCGACGGCGGAGUUUGGCACCUCGAUGUCGGCUCAUCACAUCCUGGGGCUGUAGUCGGUCCCAAGGGUAUGGCUGUUCGCCAUUUAAAGUGGUACGUGAGCUGGGUUUAAAACGUCGUGAGACAGUUUGGUCCCUAUCUGCAGUGGGCGUUGGAAGUUUGACGGGGGCUGCUCCUAGUACGAGAGGACCGGAGUGGACGAACCUCUGGUGUACCGGUUGUCACGCCAGUGGCAUCGCCGGGUAGCUAAGUUCGGAAGAGAUAAGCGCUGAAAGCAUCUAAGCGCGAAACUCGCCUGAAGAUGAGACUUCCCU